AGCCGCCGCGGUAAUACGGGGAGGGCAAGCGUUGCCCGGAAUCACUGGGCUUAAAGGGGGUGUAGGCGGCCGGGUGUGUCGGACGUGUAAUCCAUCGGCUCAACCGGUGGGCUGCGUCCGAAACUACCCGGCUAGAGGGCGCCAGAGGGGAGCGGAACUCACGGUGUAGCGGUGAAAUGCGUGGAUAUCGUGGGGAACGCCAGUGGGGAAGCCGGCUCCCUGGGGCGACCCUGACGCUGAGGCCCGAAAGCUGGGGGAGCGAAGGGGAUUAGAUACCCCCGUAGUCCCAGCCGUAAACGAUGCGGGCUAGCCGUGGGUUCCCUUCGGGGAAUCCGUGGCGCAGGGAAACCGGUAAGCCCGCCGCCUGGGGAGUACGCCCGCAAGGGUGAAACUCAAAGGAAUUGACGGGGGGGCGCACAAGCGGUGGAGCGCGUGGUUCAAUUCGAUGCUAACCGAAGAACCUUACCCGGGCUUGACAUGCCGGUAGUAUCCCCCUCGAAAGAGGGGGAGAUCCCCCUUUGGGGGAAGCCGGCACAGGUGCUGCACGGCUGUCGUCAGCUCGUGCCGUGAGGUGUUGGGUUAAGUCCCGCAACGAGCGCAACCCCUGCCCUUAGUUGCCACAGCGGCUACGUGCCGGCUGGGCACUCUAAGGGGACUGCCCCCGAUGAGGGGGAGGAAGGUGGGGAUGACGUCAAGUCCGUGUGGCCUUUAUGCCCGGGGCUACACACGCGCUACAAUGGGUGGGACAGAGGGAAGCGACCCCGCAAGGGGGAGCAAAUCCCAAAACCCACCCCCAGUUCGGAUCGGGGUCUGCAACUCGACCCCGUGAAGCCGGAAUCGCUAGUAAUCGCCGGUCAGCAAUACGGCGGUGAAUACGUUCCCG
RNAcentral lists this ribosomal RNA (883 nucleotides) under uncultured bacterium. Its description in RNAcentral is "bacterial SSU rRNA". It matches the Rfam family "Bacterial small subunit ribosomal RNA", at positions 510 to 1376 of the family's 1533-position model. The record is from RNAcentral.